UCGUUCGGCAUUCGACUCGUUGACCAGCGAGAGCAGCCAACAAGCAGUGAUCCACAGCAUGAAGUUUUCUCCCGCAGAUCCUCUUUGAUCGCGGCUUCAGUUCAUGGCAGGACUGAUGGCGUGUCAAUGGCGGAUGGAGAUCUGAAAGAAGAACCUGAAGUCCAUAUCUCGUCUUUCAGCUGUGGAGGAGGUGGCUACAUAUGAUCUCGUCUUUCAGCUGUGGAGGAGGUGGCUACAUAUGAUACAGAAGACCAUAUUUUUGCUGACGGUGAUGACUCCACAAACGCGAGCAGCUGCUGAAAGUCAACUACCAAAGUCGCUCGUGGAUCCACCACCGACGACGAUGAUGGCGCCACACCAGCUAAGCGGGCGCGCCUUGAUGAAUGAAAAAUCUGCGGGAUGUGGUAACAGCUGAUAAGAUGGAGCUACGACUCCAUAAGUAGAAAGCCGUGACAAGAUUAGCCCACUAUUUGGUUUGCCUGAAAUAAUAAAUGUAGUUGUCGUUUUCCCCCUUUACCGCUUUAGUACAGAAGUGCAAGCGUAGGAAAUUGUAUUGUGUUAGGUUUGUAUGGAGAACUGAAUGUAGGUCCCACCACGCCUAGCUGGAUUGUAUGGUUUCUGCUUAAUGUAGUUCACCGUUCGUGAAAA
This is a non-coding RNA of Aegilops tauschii subsp. strangulata, 648 nucleotides long. The record is from RefSeq and is a predicted model, not a curated record. Lineage: Eukaryota; Viridiplantae; Streptophyta; Magnoliopsida; Poales; Poaceae.